CGCGGUCCACCGUGACUCGGCACCCCCGCCCGUGAGCCUCUAUCCGAUCGGUCCAGUGGACCGGGUCCUUUCUCAGGGCUCGCUCGGCCCCUUAUAAAUACGCUGCCCAGGCAGGGGUGACUUUCCCAUCUUGCAAGUCGCCUCAUUUGUUUAUCAGUUUUAGCACAAACGCAAACUCCGUUCGUUCCCCACCACCAUCUCGUCGAAAACCUAGAAAUUCGGAGUGAGAUUGUGUUCGUCCGUUCGCUUUCGUUUCUUCGAGAUCUGUGAGGAGGGGGGAGAGACAGAUCCGUCGCUUGCUCCCUGUUCGAGGUUUGUGACGAGGACGAGCAGCAGAUUCGACGCGCGCCUCCGAGGUUCUUCCUGGAACUAAUUUGAUGUGCUAUGGAAUCCAAGGGUGGUAAAAAGUCCAGCAGUAGUCGUUCCUCCCUCAUGUACGAAGCUCCCCUCGGCUACAGCAUCGAGGACGUCCGCCCUGCAGGAGGCAUUGAGAAGUUCCGCUCCGCUGCCUACUCAAACUGCUCCAGGAAGCCAUCCUGAUAAUCCCUCUCGCGCCCCCAUCCUAAUUGCUUAGAAUUCCCUUCUGCUUUCAAUUCAUCUUCCUAAAAUUUCUCUGGCUAGCUGCUUUUCUCUGACCAGCAAAGCCUUUCCUCCUCUACCAACCUUCUCAAACAAUGGCCGUCUCUGCGAUUGGGUUUGAGGGAUAUGAGAAGCGCCUGGAGAUCACCUUCUCUGAAGCGCCAGUCUUCACUGACCCCAAUGGCAGGGGAUUGCGUGCUCUCUCUCGUGCCCAGAUCGACUCGGUUCUUGAUCUUGCCAAGUGCACCAUUGUAUCUGAGCUCUCUAAUGACAAGAUUGACUCGUAUGUCCUCUCUGAAUCAAGCCUCUUCAUCUACCCGUACAAGGUUGUGAUCAAGACCUGCGGUUACACCAAGCUCCUGCUGGCCAUUCCAAGGAUUCUUGAGCUUGCUGAGGAGUUGUCCCUGCCACUUGCUGCUGUGAAGUACUCCCGUGGGACAUUCAUAUUCCCUGAGGCACAGCCUUCUCCACACAAGAACUUCUCUGAUGAGGUUGCCUUCCUGAAUGGCUACUUUGGUGGACUCAAGUCUGGCGGCAAUGCCUAUGUCAUUGGUGAUCCUGCAAAGCCAGGCCAGAAGUGGCAUGUCUACUAUGCCACCCAGCAGCCUGAGCAGCCCAUGGUCAACCUUGAGAUGUGCAUGACUGGUCUGGACAAGAAGAAAGCUUCUGUCUUCUUCAAGACCUCUGCUGAUGGCUACACAUCUUGUGCCAAGGAGAUGACCAAGCUCUCUGGCAUCUCUGAAAUAAUCCCGGAGAUGGAGAUCUGUGACUUUGAUUUCGAGCCAUGUGGCUACUCCAUGAACGCCAUCCAUGGCUCUGCUUUCUCCACCAUUCAUGUCACUCCUGAGGACGGCUUCAGCUAUGCUAGCUAUGAGGUCAUGGGGUUGGACCCUGCCUCCAUGGCCUAUGGUGACCUGGUCAAGAGGGUGCUGAGAUCCUUUGGCCCGUCUGAAUUCUCUGUUGCUGUGACCAUCUUUGGCGGUCGCAACCUUGCUGGCACCUGGGGGGAGAGGCUGAAUGUUGGGGUCUAUGAUAGUACCAACAUGGUCGUCCAGGAGCUGCCUGACGGGGGCGCUCUCAUCUACCAGAGCUUCACUGCUGUCGGCGAAGACUCCACCGGGUCACCAAGAUCUGUCCUGAACUGCAACGUUCAUGGCAAUUUAGAGAGCGGCUCCAAGAUGGAUGCUUUCCUUUGCUGGGAAGACGAUGCUGCGCAGGAGAAGGAUGAGAGGGGGGCUGUUAAGAGGAUGAAGAGCUGCUGAUGGUGAUGCUAGCUGGUCUGAACGAGCUUGUGUUGCGUCAGUUUGUUCUUAGAGAUUUCCUGUUCCUGUCCUAUUACUUUUGUUAUGGACAAGUGACGUGAAAAUGGUUAGCGUUUUCUGCCAGUGUGAGCGAAUGUAUGGAAAUGCCUGUCUCUGGCUGCAUGGUUUAUGAAUAUAAGAAUAAGCCUUGUAUUGAGCAAAUGUUAUUUUGUUAUUUCCUGAAAGUUUUGUUAGAAGCCAUUCUUGUCUGUCGUGGACCUAUUGAACUCUGGCGAAUCUGAUUCAGUUCUGAUGGUGCGGAGGUUCGGGUACUAAUGCUGCUUGUGGUGAUUAUUCGAUAAGAAUCUAUCUCUUGGAGAUGUCGAUGCUCGAUAAGAAAGCCAUGCAGUUGAUGGUGGUGGCUGCAUAUAAGAGAUCCAUGCCAGUGUUAUUGCAAGACUUGCCCAAGUUAACCAAAGCUCUGGCAUAUUUUGGAGGUUGAGAACCCUCAAGCCAUCAGAAAUCUUGUCUGAACCUGCCCAAAGAAAGGCCCUCUUGAUCUUCUCAAAAGAAGGUACUAGGGUCGUCGACCACUGCUGUUCCGCUCUUUCAGAAUGCUCCACGGAGCAAGAAUUAGGCAUGUAUAUCAAAUCCUCUUUUUCUCUCCAUUCUCUCCCUGCUGAAUUGUCCGCAAACCUCAACGACCAUAUCAGAACUGCAUGUCAUGUCAUGUCGUUGUGUAGAAUUUUAGGCCUCCUUUGAUUUACAGGAGUUUUGUAGGAAUUCUAAAGGAUAUGAAUCUGUAGGAAAGAAUUCUUUGAAGCUCUUUGACUUGUAGAAAUGGACUCCUGUUCCUAUGCAG
RNAcentral lists this ribosomal RNA (2682 nucleotides) under Triticum aestivum (bread wheat). Its description in RNAcentral is "partial small subunit ribosomal RNA". The record is from RNAcentral. Lineage: Eukaryota; Viridiplantae; Streptophyta; Magnoliopsida; Poales; Poaceae.